This is a non-coding RNA of Vicia faba (fava bean), 267 nucleotides long. Lineage: Eukaryota; Viridiplantae; Streptophyta; Magnoliopsida; Fabales; Fabaceae. The record is from the annotation of a GenBank genome assembly.
AUGGCAUCGAAUAAGAAAUUACCAAUUAAUAAUGGUAAUUCUGAAAAUUUAACUUGGAAUAGAGUCAUGGAUGAUGCUCUUGUUGAUGCUUUUAUGCAUAAAUAUGAAAAAGGGAACAAAGUCAACGGUACAUUCACUACAUCAACAUAUGAAAAUAUUGCAGUUGAACUUCGUGCAUUGUUUGGGAACAAAGUUGACAAGAUUUUCUUGGAAUUCAACUACACAAUUAUGGGAUGCCCAGUCAGAAGUUUGGGAUGCUUGAGGUAA